This is a long non-coding RNA of Silurus meridionalis, 1376 nucleotides long. RefSeq lists it as uncharacterized. The record is from RefSeq and is a predicted model, not a curated record. The transcript has 3 exons. Lineage: Eukaryota; Metazoa; Chordata; Actinopteri; Siluriformes; Siluridae.
UGCGCUUCGAUUUAAAGAGAACCACUGCGAUCAGAGUAACUCUAUCAGCAUCAGAAAAGCUACGAAGGUGGAACUGAAGAUGAUCUGAAAGGAUUUUGUCUGGUUCACUUGGAGCACAUCUUGGAAAGUAAAAAAGAAGACAAAGAGGAAGCUCGAGAGACUCCAGCCUGGACACCAGCCAUGGAGGAGGAUUUUAUGAAGAAGGGCCACCCUGAUGUUAUAAGGCAGCAGCAGACGAGCAACGUGGAUAAAGGCUACUCUGAGACCAAGCGCGUCGAUUCGGGGCCAAACGGCUGCGUGCGCUGCUGCAUGAGCACCAAGAACUGCUUGAUGAGCCCGGAAUGUGGCAGAGCUCUCAGCAUCGCUAGUGUCAUCUCCAUGUGUGGCAUGUGUAUCCGCAUGUGGACAUAGAUUUCUUCUACUUCUGAAUCAAGAACAGCUUGUCUCCUGGUUGCUGCCACCCUGAACUUCGAACAAUCGAAGGCAUCAUGAUUAUGGAAUGUCUACUACGCCUCUACUAAAAAGCUUUUAUAACACACCCUUAUUUUGAACUCCACCCUAUUUUAUCACCUUGACCAGUAAAUAUAUAUCUUUUGGACAACAAUCAUUCACAGUGAAGCAUAUUUAUAAGUAAACAAAUUAUUUAAAAGGAGAAAGGGUCAUGUAAAAAAUAAGACUCUCACAAGGGAUGAAUAAUGUAUUAAUUUUUAAUGUUUUAAACGUGUCAAGGAUUUUACAUGGUUGGCAUCCUCGGGUAGCUGCCUUCCCUUUGACUGCUCUGUCCCGGCAUGAGUGCAGGUGAACAAUCAGAAAAGCUCAGACCUUGAUUUUAGCACUCUACAAAUUUGUGGCUUAAACACAAACCCCGGGUAUGAGAUACAUUUGUCUCAGAACAUGGCUGUGAAGAGGGAUUUUUUGACAGAACUGCAGUCUGCUACAGAUUAUUCAGCGCCUGUUUACGAUUGUCAUCCAUCAACUAAAGUAAUUAAAUUGAAAAGGCUGCUGGUACCAGAGGUCACGUUGACUGUCAUUUAGUUUUUAAUUUUCGUUUUGUUGACUAUUUUUUAUGUUUAAUUACCUUAAAUCAGUUAGGUAAUGAAAUUAUUUGAAGUGCCUUCCCCCACAAUUUCUAGGCUUUUCAUUUGCAUAUGAGUAAUGGAGAAUAGUCACCUUUUUUGUAUUCUCAAAACGUCACCUCAUGUAUUCUAUUAGCUGAUUAGAAACUACUCUCAGGAUUUUUUUUCUUUUCAGAACUUAAACGCUUGUCAUUCCUUCUACAUUUUCAGAUGUAGUUUAAAAUUUACAAAACAGUGUCAUUCUCUGGCUUUGAUUUACUGCUCUCUGCUUUUCAAAAUAUAAAUAAUAUAAAAAAGAUA